RNAcentral lists this ribosomal RNA (446 nucleotides) under uncultured bacterium. RNAcentral describes it as "bacterial SSU rRNA". It matches the Rfam family "Bacterial small subunit ribosomal RNA", at positions 329 to 792 of the family's 1533-position model. The record is from RNAcentral.
UGCCAGACUCCUACGGGAGGCAGCAGUGGGGAAUAUUGCACAAUGGGGGAAACCCUGAUGCAGCGACGCCGCGUGAGUGAAGAAGUAUUUCGGUAUGUAAAGCUCUAUCAGCAGGGAAGAAAAUGACGGUACCUGACUAAGAAGCCCCGGCUAACUACGUGCCAGCAGCCGCGGUAAUACGUAGGGGGCAAGCGUUAUCCGGAUUUACUGGGUGUAAAGGGAGCGUAGACGGCAUGGCAAGUCAGAUGUGAAAGCCCGGGGCUCAACCCCGGGACUGCAUUUGAAACUGUCAGGCUGGAGUGCAGGAGAGGUAAGUGGAAUUCCUAGUGUAGCGGUGAAAUGCGUAGAUAUUAGGAGGAACACCAGUGGCGAAGGCGGCCUGCUGGACGACAACUGACGGUGAGGCGCGAAAGCGUGGGGAGCAAACAGGAUUAGAUACCCGUGUA